AUGCCCCUGGACUUUACCAAGCACUUCGUCGCAGUGCCGACGGAGUUCAAGCUCAGGAACAACACCGGCUGCUCCUGGAAGGUGACGGUCAAGCUGAUGAACGGCAGGGUGACCCAGGAUCAGGGUUGGGCCACCUACGCAGUUCAUCAGAUCAAGAUCGGCUACAUGGUGACGUUCAAGCUCCUCACUCCUGACACCCUCAAGGUCAUCAUCUUCGACGACGAUGGCAUUGAGGUCGUCAACAAGUGCGGGAAGCACGACGAAGCCUUCGCCGCCAAGGAGUAG
RNAcentral lists this ribosomal RNA (285 nucleotides) under Triticum aestivum (bread wheat). RNAcentral describes it as "partial small subunit ribosomal RNA". Lineage: Eukaryota; Viridiplantae; Streptophyta; Magnoliopsida; Poales; Poaceae. The record is from RNAcentral.